CCUCGGUGGAAGAUUACUAAUGAGAGUGGCGAACGGGUGAGUAACGCGUGAGCAACCUGCCUAUGACAGUGGGAUAGCCUCGGGAAACCGGGAUUAAUACCGCAUAAAAUCGUAGAAACACAUGUUUCAAUAGUCAAAGAUUUAUCGGUCAUAGAUGGGCUCGCGUCUGAUUAGCUAGUUGGUGAGAUAACAGCCCACCAAGGCGACGAUCAGUAGCCGGUCUGAGAGGAUGAACGGCCACAUUGGAACUGAGACACGGUCCAAACUCCUACGGGAGGCAGCAGUGGGGAAUAUUGCACAAUGGGGGAAACCCUGAUGCAGCGACGCCGCGUGAACGAAGAAGGUAUUCGUAUCGUAAAGUUCUGUCCUAUGGGAAGAUAAUGACAGUACCAUAGAAGAAAGCUCCGGCUAAAUACGUGCCAGCAGCCGCGGUAA
Molecule: ribosomal RNA, 435 nt
Filed under: uncultured Eubacteriales bacterium
Lineage: Bacteria; Bacillati; Bacillota; Clostridia; Eubacteriales
Description: bacterial SSU rRNA
Rfam family: Bacterial small subunit ribosomal RNA
Source: RNAcentral